Non-coding RNA from Ricinus communis (castor bean), 136 nucleotides. The record is from Rfam. NCBI's taxonomy places the organism in Eukaryota, Viridiplantae, Streptophyta, Magnoliopsida, Malpighiales, Euphorbiaceae.
AUACUUACCUGGACGGGGUCGAUGGGUGAUCAAGAAGGCCUAUGGCUUAGAUCAGUGACUUCCAUUGCAGUUGGGAGGGGUGCUGGCCUAAGGUCUCCCCAAGUUGGGAGAGCCUACGUCAUAAUUUGUUCAAAGC